AGUGAACGCUGGCGGUAGGCCUAACACAUGCAAGUCGAACGGCAGCACAGUAAGAGCUUGCUCUUACGGGUGGCGAGUGGCGGACGGGUGAGGAAUACAUCGGAAUCUACUUUUUCGUGGGGGAUAACGUAGGGGAACUUACGCUAAUACCGCAUACGACCUGCGGGUGAAAGCAGGGGAUAUUCGGACCUUGCGCGAUUGAAUGCGCCGAUGUCGGGUUAGCUAGUUGGGGGGGUAAAGGCCCACCAAGGCGACGAUCCGCAGCUGGUCUGAGAGGAGGGUAGGCCACCUUGGAACGUGGACAGCGUCCUUACGCCUACGGGAGGCAGCAGUCUCGAACAUUGGACAAUGGUGGCAAGUCUUACCCAGCCAUCCCGCGUGUGAUACGAAGGCCUUCGGUUUGUAAAGCCGGUUUUUUGGGAAAGAAACGCAUCAGCUUAAGACCCCGCGGUUCUGACGGUACCCAAAAAAUAAGCACCGGCUAACUUCGUG
RNAcentral lists this ribosomal RNA (492 nucleotides) under uncultured bacterium. RNAcentral's name for it is "partial 16S ribosomal RNA". It matches the Rfam family "Bacterial small subunit ribosomal RNA", at positions 29 to 507 of the family's 1533-position model. The record is from RNAcentral.